AGAGUUUGAUCCUGGCUCAGAUUGAACGCUGGCGGCAUGCCUUACACAUGCAAGUCGAACGGCAGCACGGGAGCAAUCCUGGUGGCGAGUGGCGAACGGGUGAGUAAUAUAUCGGAACGUGCCCAGUCGUGGGGGAUAACGCAGCGAAAGCUGUGCUAAUACCGCAUACGAUCUCUGGAUGAAAGCGGGGGACCUGCAAGGGCCUCGCGCGAUUGGAGCGGCCGAUAUCAGAUUAGCUAGUUGGUGGGGUAAAAGCUCACCAAGGCGACGAUCUGUAGCUGGUCUGAGAGGACGACCAGCCACACUGGAACUGAGACACGGUCCAGACUCCUACGGGAGGCAGCAGUGGGGAAUUUUGGACAAUGGGCGCAAGCCUGAUCCAGCAAUGCCGCGUGCAGGAUGAAGGCCUUCGGGUUGUAAACUGCUUUUGUACGGAACGAAAAGGCUCUUUUUAAUAAAGAGGGCUCAUGACGGUACCGUAAGAAUAAGCACCGGCUAACUACGUGCCAGCAGCCGCGGUAAUACGUAGGGUGCGAGCGUUAAUCGGAAUUACUGGGCGUAAAGCGUGCGCAGGCGGUUUUGUAAGACAGAUGUGAAAUCCCCGGGCUCAACCUGGGACCUGCAUUUGUGACUGCAAGGCUAGAGUACGGUAGAGGGGGAUGGAAUUCCGCGUGUAGCAGUGAAAUGCGUAGAUAUGCGGAGGAACACCGAUGGCGAAGGCAAUCCCCUGGACCUGUACUGACGCUCAUGCACGAAAGCGUGGGGAGCAAACAGGAUUAGAUACCCUGGUAGUCCACGCCCUAAACGAUGUCAACUGGUUGUUGGGUCUUUACUGACUCA
Molecule: ribosomal RNA, 840 nt
Filed under: uncultured bacterium
Lineage: Bacteria
Description: SSU rRNA
Rfam family: Bacterial small subunit ribosomal RNA
Source: RNAcentral